Molecule: long non-coding RNA, 67 nt
Organism: Sitophilus oryzae (rice weevil)
Lineage: Eukaryota; Metazoa; Arthropoda; Insecta; Coleoptera; Curculionidae
Exons: 3
Source: RefSeq, a predicted model, not a curated record
UCGGCGAAUUCCGAAUAUGCGGCCGGGACACACCUAUCAUGCACGUUUCCGAUCCGGCUCCGGUCCG